Passer montanus (Eurasian tree sparrow) is the source of this 4365-nucleotide long non-coding RNA. RefSeq lists it as uncharacterized. The transcript is spliced from 2 exons. Lineage: Eukaryota; Metazoa; Chordata; Aves; Passeriformes; Passeridae. The record is from RefSeq and is a predicted model, not a curated record.
CCGGCACCGGGAACGGCUCCGGGAACGGCACCGGGUAACGGAGCGGUACCAGUCACGGGGCGACAGCACCAGGUCCCAAGGAAAACUCCGAGCUGGCUGGUGGAGGUGUUACCAGGAGAAAUUCUUCCUUUCCAGAGGAAAAGAACGGAGGAAAAUGACUGUAGCAGUGACCGAUGGAGAGGCUGCCCCUGGAUCUGCCCUAGAACUGCCCCAGCUCCACCCCAGCGAUGCCCCCAAGGGAUCUUAGCUCUGCCCCGGCUCUCUUUGUGCCUCAGAGAGUCUCGGGAAGCCUCUGGGAAGGUGAGCAUUAUGCAGGCUGAGCCGCAGCCGGACGCAUGGCCACCUCGCAUGAGCUCAGCAGGAUGCCGAAUGACGCCGCGCAUUCCGGGGACAGAGGGAGUCUGGAGCUUGGUAAUGGAUUUCCGAGAAAAUUGCCUCUGUGUUUGGAGCAGGAGCGCAAAGAGUGCAGGCGGAACGGCCUUUCUCUCUAAGUGGCAUCUCAAGGGUCUUAAUUAUUUCUCAGGAGUAGAAACAUUUAUUUAGGCGGCUCUGGAGAGGUCCUGACGCUUUUGGCUGCUGCCCUCCGGGUACAUCCUGUAUGCGAGGCUCCUCUGCAAUCCUCCCCGCUGCUCCCGGGAUGUGCAGAGUGCUGGGCUUGGGCAAAGCACAAACACCCAGCCACGGGAUGUGCGGAGUGCUGGGCUUGGGCAAAGCACAAACAUCCAACCACGGGAUGUGCACAGUGCUGGGCUUGGGCAAAGCACAAACACCCAGCCACGGGCUGUGCACAGUGCUGGGCUUGGGCAAAGCACAAACAUCCAACCACAUCACCUGUGGGCAGGACACGGCCUCAGCUCCAUCCCCUCCUGCUCCCUGGGAAGCAGGAGCUCUCAUGGGGGAGCCCAGCCCCAUCCCAUCCCUGCUUUGCAUCCCUCACGCUCCCGGAUCUCAAAACAAAACCCCGUUGUGAUAAUCCGGCCCAGCUAAUGUGAAACAGAUGAAUCCCCACAUUAGUCACAGAUUCACAUUUUCCCACAAAGGUCCCACUGGAGAGCCAGUGUGGAUGGGCCCUGCGGGGUUCCAGCCCUGGUGCUGGUGCAAGAGGCAGCCUGUGAAGAGUGAGGGGGACAGGGCAGCAGCACAGCCCCUGCCAGAGCCCCGCCACCCGUGGGCAGCACACGACUUGGAGCCAUGGGCAGGGCCAAGUGGGGGCACCAGAGAUGUUUGUCACUGGCACAGGCUCAGCCUGGUGGUGCCCAGUGCCAGGAGGAGGGGAUGAUCUGCUGCAGCAAAAAACGGAAAUGACAUUUUGUCCAAGGGGGAAUUUCCACAGGAAAACUCUGCUUCCAGCCACUCGGAUAUGGCUGGGAACAACCCAGCAAACACUUGGCCUCAGCAGCCAAGCAGCGCCAUUGCUUGGGCAAUGACUCCUUGUUUCCUCCAGAGUUCCUCCUGCCGGGAAAGAACAUCCAGUUUCUGCUACUGAAACAGCCAGGACAGCAAGAGCCCAAAUGGGUCUGCAGAGGGCACCAGAACCCCCCCAUCAGCUCAGUGAGUAUCUCUGCACCUGAGGGGGCAUGGGGGCCCUGCAGCACCCACAGCCCAGCUGGGACCAAGGGCACAAUCAACUCAUGCCCACCCCAGUGCCAGGGCUGGCUGGGGGCAUCAGGAGCACACACACCGGGGCUGCACUUGGCCCCCACACCAGGCUGUUGCAUCCCAACAUCCCUGCACAUCCCCAAGCAUCCCUGUCCUCUCCCAGCAUCCCUGCACAUCCCCAAGCUUCCCUGUCCUCUCCCUGCAUCCCUGCACAUCCCCAAGCAUCCCUGUCCUCUCCCUGCAUCCCUGUUCUCUCCCUGCAUCCCUGCACAUCCCCAAGCAUCCCUGUCCUCUCCCUGCAUCCCUGCUCUCCCUUGCAGAGCUCAGGUUGCCACAGUAACCACUCAGUCCCGGCCGUUCCUGCCAUCAACGUGCUGCCACAGGUCAGCCCAGUCCAGCAGCUGCACCAGGGCCAGGGCCCUUCACCCCAUGCUGGGGUGAGCAGAGCCCUUGGUGCUGGUGCCACCACAGCCAGGUGCUGCAUGGUGAGCCAGGAUGGGACACCUGUAGGGAAGCAGGCAGGUUGUGUCCUCCUGGAGUGGCUGGGAGGUGGUGUUUUUGGAGAUCACACUGUGCUGGAGCUCUGGGUCUGACCUCUGCCACAUGUGGCAGUGGAAGCCACCACUGCUGGGCUCUGCUCGGCUGUGUAUUUAUCUGAGUGUGAUGCAAUAUUUAUUUGCCUGUUGUGCUCUGAGCACUGGAAGCAGGGAUUGGGAUGGCUCUUGGCUUGGCCAGCAGUGGCAUGUGCUCUGCAAGCUCAGCACGUGUUGCUGUGGGAAGAUCUCAAAAAGCACCUGGGAGGGCAGAGGAGACCUUCAGGCUGGUCCUUGGGCAGGUGACAGCUGAGUCCUGGGGGUCUCUGCCUCCCACCCCUCACUGCUUGGCCCUGUGGAUGGGGCUGAAGCCGCAGAUAAACUGUGGCCUCUCUAAUCCCUGUCUGCUGCCUUAUUCCCAAGGACUGUCAAUAUUGCACAGCUCAGACACCCCAGGGCCCAGUGGGACCCUGCACGAGAGGCUGCUCAGGGCUGGCCUUGCUGCAGGGCUGCCCUGGCAGGUGGCUGCCCAUCCCCACGGGGCCGCCCUGUGCCCGUCACGCAAGUGCCCGCAUCCCAAGCGGAUUAUCUGCAUUUGGAAACCCCUAAUCCGUUUGCACGCUUGGCUCAGACACUGUCCCCACUCCUCCCCACUGUGCUGCAGCCCUGGGCAAGGAGCAAAGCCACCCUGUGACCUCCUUUUGGAGCCACAAACAACCUCAUGCCCCAGCACAGGCAGAAAGCAAGGGCUGCAGGGCUGACUGGGGCAGGAGGAGGGGGACAGGAUGUUGGCAAGUGGCCCUUGCCUCAGUUGCUGCAGGGGUUUUUCCAGCACAGGGACGUUCCCUGGGCACUUUUUCCUGCUGCCUAUCAGGCUCCCAGCCUGCUGCUCCCCAGAGCAUUGACAGCAGGAGCUCUGAGGUGGGAGCAGUGGUGGCCCCAUGACCCCAUCACUCAGGGCUGAGCAGGGCAGGUGCCAAGAGGGAUGCAGAGGGCCCAGGGAAUCCCUGACACUACAUGGUUGUGGUAACCCCAGGGGUUGUGGAUGGGUAAGAAAAUUCCUUAGUCCUGGGUUCUCAACUCCAUCCUGCAGCUGCCAGAGGGGAGCUGGUACCUGCCAGGGCAGGAAUGGGUUUGUGGGGCCUCGGCAGAGCCAUGGUUUGGUUUGACAGUGAAAUGGAGGGGUCCUGGAGUGGGGCUGGUUCCCAAAGCAGGGACAUGGUCAGCUCAGCCCUGAGCAGGAUGCUCCAGGGCACACAGGGCAGAGAAAACUCCAGUGCACCUCCAGCCCCUCAAAUGAUGCAGCACAGCCAGUUCCACAUGACCUGCAUGGACAAUCCCUCUAAUCCUGCUCUGACAGAGAAAUAAUCUCUCCCUCUUGGCAUCAUCAGAGCGCAAAGCCUGGAAUGAUCCUGCUCUCCGUGGCAUUGCAGAGGGUUAGGGGUGCCAGUGCUGGGGUGGGAUCCACCAGGGCCCUGUGGCAAAGCGUGUCACUGUCCCCAGCCCGUGCUCCCAGCCCCACACACCCAUCCAGCCGUGCCUUGCAGAGCCUGGCACCCGCUGCCCCCAGCCCAGUCACCUCCACCCACAGCCCAUCGCCCCCCAGGGCAGCAUCACUCACAGGGGCCCCAGCGCAGCCCCAGACACCUCGGGCUGAGAGCAGCCAGAGCAGGGCCCCAGCGCAGCCGUGCCCUCCCACGCUGGCACCGGCAUUUCCUUUACACAAGCAGAGGAGACCCAGGCGCGUCUCUGGGGCAGAGAAAGCAACCAGGAGGCCGGGCCGGGGCCAUUGCCCCCUGCAUGCCCCGGGGAGGGCCCCGGGCAGGGGCAGCUGCCCACGCGUGCCGGGCAGGCGGCGGGGCCGGCGCGCAGCGAGCAAACCGCAGCUGCGGCAGCGCGGCCGAGUGCGCAGAGGGAGGCCCCAGUUCCCGGAGCAGGGUCAGGCGGGUGCCGCAGGCAGAGCCAAGCUCACACCUCAGAGCACGUCGCUUCAGGGCCUUUAUUUCGGAGAAAGUUAAAGCCUGUAGAUACAGCAAUAAAAUAUACAAAAAAAUAAAAUUUUUUACAGUAUUGAAUGCUGCCAGGGAUUGCGGCUGGAGGCAGUGAGCGAGCAGAGGGGCAAAGGGCCCUCGUCGCCCCUGAGCAUCCCCAGGGCCAGCCACCGACCCCCUCCUGCUCCCACACAGCUUGGAGGGGCUUGCCCAGACCCCACAGCCAUGGGGAUCCUCUCCCC